Molecule: non-coding RNA, 74 nt
Organism: Desmophyllum pertusum
Lineage: Eukaryota; Metazoa; Cnidaria; Anthozoa; Scleractinia; Caryophylliidae
Source: the annotation of a GenBank genome assembly
CGUUCCGUGGCCGAAUGGUUAGUGCAUUGGACUCCAGAUCGAGCGAUCCUGGUUCGAGUCCUGACCGGGGUCGA